This 1509-nucleotide ribosomal RNA is filed under the name Triticum aestivum (bread wheat). RNAcentral describes it as "partial small subunit ribosomal RNA". The record is from RNAcentral. Lineage: Eukaryota; Viridiplantae; Streptophyta; Magnoliopsida; Poales; Poaceae.
AUGUCUCCCUCUCCGGGAACACUGCAGCAGGGCAGCACGGGCCGCUCCUACCACCCACCCCCCUCGCGCGGUCGCGGAACCCAAGAAAUACCACCGGGCAGCUCCGCCUCACCACACCGCUCGCCGCCCCUUGCCCCUCUGCACAGAGCCGGGCAGCAUCAACAACAACAGCUCAGCAGCAAAAACAGCUUACUGGCAAACUCACUUCUAGAGAUCCUAAGAGGCUACAUACUCGACGGCGAAAAAUGCGCCCUUUACAAGGCAGAGGUUGCCUCACUGGCUAGACGAGGCUGUUCGGUUCUUACUGUCGACUUUGAGCACCUCCUUACCAAUAUUGAUCUCGCUCUCGCCAUUGGCAAUGACAAUGACAGCUCAUAUCAGUGGCUAAGAUCAGUGGUACGUGCCUUCUUCAAUGAGCAGUGCAAUGAGAUGAAGAACGAGCAGAGGAAGAAAUUUGUUGAGGGGGCUAGUGUUUCUUUCAGUAACAAGCCUAUAGAAGUUUUCCCACUGACAGAAGUCAAGGCAAAAAAAGAAGACCUUGUGAGGAUCAUUAAAAUCAUCCGUGGACAGGAAACAUGUAGAGCUGCAAGCACUUUUGGCACGGAAUUAUAUUUGGCCAUCUUGCUAUUUGUGCUUGGCAAGCACAGGGUUGGGCAAAGCUGGGAUGGCGACUUUGCCGAGCAGGACGUCUAUUUCUUCAGAUAUCUAGGCCGGCCGUUGGAGUGCCGCAUUCUGAAAAGCACAACGCCAAGUCCCGUGGCACUUUCUAAACGAGACAUCUUCAAUCUUGAGCAGUGCACACCCUUGGAGAGGAAGAACGAUUUUGGGACAGUGGACGUGCUCAUGACACCAAAUUAUGAGGAUGCAGAUGGCAAGUUGCCUGUCUUUCUUGAUGAAUUGCAUGAGGACUUGAAGGACGCACUGCCUUCAACUGUUGUCCAACAAUGGUUCAUUGGGAAUCUGGAAUUCAAUUUGGCUUUAAUGUCAUCCGCGGCAAGGAAGAUUCUGACGGUUGCCAUCAGUAAUCUAAUCAGAUCGCUCAAGUUGUCCUCCAACGAAGAUUAUCGCAGGAUAUUGACGGAACCACCAUAUCCGCGUGAUUGGCGUGUGAGGUUUCAAGAUGAUGAGGGUGUAAUGGGAGGCAUCUAUUGGUACGAGAAUGAAGAGAGAGAUAAAGAUAAGAAUCUAUACAAAAAUACUAUGGAAAGUGUGAUUGAGUAUGCAAAGAACACUCAUGACCACUGCCAUAAGUAUUUGGAGGGUGAAAAGCGGCUAGAUGAUUUUGAUGAAAGCGAGUUGCUCAUAGCUGUAAAGCUGCCCGGGGUGUUAGGAAAGCUAGUGAAAGAUCUCAUGAAGCUAAACUUGAUGGAGGACUUGCUGGCGGAAGUGAGGGCCAUCUAUUGUUCAUCCAGGUCAGCUCAAAAGGAGCCAGCAACGGCAAUGCUGUAUGUGCACGACGAGGUGCAUGGGACACAAAAUGAGACCACGGAACAAAGUGGAGAACGCUGA